AGCGCCACGAGAUCACCGAAAGCUUCCGGUUCUUCAAUCGAUGUCAGCACGAAGCCGGAUCGCCAACGAGUCUCCCGGCCGCGGACGACAUCGCCAACGAGUUUCAAGACGUCUUCAGUGCGGAACUCGGCUGCAUCAGCGGUCCCCCUGUACACCUUCAACUCAAGGAGGGAGCUACACCAAAGUUCUAUCAUCAGCCGCUCCUGGGCCUGCUGAAAGCGGACAAGCCUACGCCGGCGUUGGCCGCAGCCCGAAUACAGCGCUGGGCUCUCUACCUCGGUGGAUUUCGCUACAAACUUCAGUAUUCGCCCGGGUCAACCCAGGAGACGGAAGAGUGGACACUGCCGCCCGACACAGCC
This is a long non-coding RNA of Ixodes scapularis (black-legged tick), 359 nucleotides long. RefSeq lists it as uncharacterized. The transcript has 4 exons. Lineage: Eukaryota; Metazoa; Arthropoda; Arachnida; Ixodida; Ixodidae. The record is from RefSeq and is a predicted model, not a curated record.